RNAcentral lists this ribosomal RNA (277 nucleotides) under Escherichia coli. Its description in RNAcentral is "partial 23S ribosomal RNA". It matches the Rfam family "Bacterial large subunit ribosomal RNA", at positions 588 to 867 of the family's 2925-position model. The record is from RNAcentral. Lineage: Bacteria; Pseudomonadati; Pseudomonadota; Gammaproteobacteria; Enterobacterales; Enterobacteriaceae.
AUGGGGUGACUGCGUACCUUUUGUAUAAUGGGUCAGCGACUUAUAUUCUGUAGCAAGGUUAACCGAAUAGGGGAGCCGAAGGGAAACCGAGUCUUAACUGGGCGUUAAGUUGCAGGGUAUAGACCCGAAACCCGGUGAUCUAGCCAUGGGCAGGUUGAAGGUUGGGUAACACUAACUGGAGGACCGAACCGACUAAUGUUGAAAAAUUAGCGGAUGACUUGUGGCUGGGGGUGAAAGGCCAAUCAAACCGGGAGAUAGCUGGUUCUCCCCGAAAGCU